Molecule: long non-coding RNA, 882 nt
Filed under: Mustela putorius furo (domestic ferret)
Lineage: Eukaryota; Metazoa; Chordata; Mammalia; Carnivora; Mustelidae
Description: lncRNA (ENSMPUG00000026959.1)
Source: RNAcentral
UAAAGGGUUUGUUCCGUUAUCAGAGGGAGGGGAAGGACAGGAGAUGGUUGUCUGGGUGUGUUUAUUUUCUUUUAAAAUAUAAACUGAUUGGAGAUGUCCACAGGGACACAUAGGGCACUGUGAUUGUCAGCCUGUUGGACAGGCAGUCCGUGUGAUCUCUGUUCUGAGCCGCACACUGGUGGCAUUGGACAAAAUGGCGGCCAUCUUGACACGAGGAUCUGCAUGGCACAUGGGGCUCCCAGACAUUUUCAGGACUUCUUUCCCAUGAAAAGUGGAUGGGCUGCAGCACCUUGGAGUCAGGUUCCAGGGCCCUCCCGCAAGGUGCAGACUGCAUGAGAAAGAGAUUCCCCAGCUCAGGAACCAAAAGAGACACACCUAACCUGGUGAUGUCCCCACCAGCCGGUGACCCGUGGCCCCCAGCUCUUACUGUGAGGUUCCCAUGUACACGGCCCUGAGGAGGAUCCGAGUGCCGGCCGACCAUGGCCCAGGGCUUACGUAAGAGGAACUAGGGAAGUGAGGGGUACACAGGAGAUGUUCUGGAAGCAGGGAAGGAUGGCUGCACACGUUGGGUGAGCGUCCUGGCGGGCAGGAGGUAAGAGGAGCUGGAGCUGGAGCUGGAACUGGAAAGGGAAGCAGAAUUCAAUGAGCCAACCAGAGACGGGAGGGAGCUCCGGGCUUAGAAAGAGAGUGGCUGGACUACCGACAAGGUGCGCUUGGGAGAAAGUGAAUAUUCAGCAUGGCCGUGCUGGGGGGCCUGGGGUAGGGGGCCGUGGGAAAUAGAGCAACUGAAGGGGUUCCACAUCAACCUUUGCAUGUUCCUUAAGUCAGGCGAAGGGUUUGGGCUGCAUUCAGGGGGAAGCGUGGAAAAGUUUUGUUAAGGGG